This 451-nucleotide ribosomal RNA is filed under the name uncultured bacterium. RNAcentral's name for it is "partial 16S ribosomal RNA". It matches the Rfam family "Bacterial small subunit ribosomal RNA", at positions 354 to 796 of the family's 1533-position model. The record is from RNAcentral.
GUGGGGAAUAUUGGACAAUGGGGGGAACCCUGAUCCAGCCAUGCCGCGUGUGUGAAGAAGGCCUUUUGGUUGUAAAGCACUUUAAGCGAGGAGGAGGCUACCGAGAUUAAUACUCUUGGAUAGUGGACGUUACUCGCAGAAUAAGCACCGGCUAACUUUGUGCCAGCAGCCGCGGUAAUACAGAGGGUGCAAGCGUUAAUCGGAUUUACUGGGCGUAAAGCGCGCGUAGGUGGCCAAUUAAGUCAAAUGUGAAAUCCCCGAGCUUAACUUGGGAAUUGCAUUCGAUACUGGUUGGCUAGAGUAUGGGAGAGGAUGGUAGAAUUCCAGGUGUAGCGGUGAAAUGCGUAGAGAUCUGGAGGAAUACCGAUGGCGAAGGCAGCCAUCUGGCCUAAUACUGACACUGAGGUGCGAAAGCAUGGGGAGCAAACAGGAUUAGAAACCCGGGUAGUCC